RNAcentral lists this ribosomal RNA (363 nucleotides) under Glyptolithodes cristatipes. Its description in RNAcentral is "partial 12S ribosomal RNA". The record is from RNAcentral. Lineage: Eukaryota; Metazoa; Arthropoda; Malacostraca; Decapoda; Lithodidae.
AGUUUUAAGUUUGAUUCUUGCUUAUAUUUUUUAUAUUAUGAUUAAAAAAUACAUGAAAAUUAUAGUGUUCCUUUAUAAUAAAAUUAAAAAUUACAUAUAAUAUAAAUCUCAGUAUUUAAUUUUAAGUAUUAAUUAAAAUUAGAAUUGGUAAUCAUUUUAAUCCUGACUAAAAUUUGUGCCAGCAGUCGCGGUUAUACUUAAGGGGUAAAUAAAUACAAUUUGGUAUUUAUAGUAAAUUAUUAGUUAAAUAAAAAUUAUUAUUUUUUUUAAAGGGUGAAAUCAGAAUUUAAUUAUAAUAAUAAAUUUAAAAUAAAACCAAAAUAAACUAUAAAUUUUAAUAUAUAAACUAGGAUUAGAUACCCC